UAUCUCUGUAGAGUCUGCAUAUCAAUAAGCGGAGGAAAAGAAACUAACAAGGAUUCCCCUAGUAACGGCGAGUGAAGCGGGAAGAGCUCAAAUUUGAAAUCUUCAAGGUUUGACCUUGACGAAUUGUAGUUUAAAGAAGUGUUUUCGGUUAGAGGAGUAGUAAAAGUUCUUUGGAAUAGGACAUCAUAGAGGGUGAGAAUCCCGUAUUUGACUAUUCUUUCUAGCUUUGUGAUACACUUUCAAAGAGUCGGAUUGUUUGGGAAUGCAGUCCAAAAUGGGUGGUAAAUUUCAUCCUAAAGCUAAAUAUUGGCGAGAGACCGAUAGCGAACAAGUACCGUGAGGGAAAGAUGAAAAGAACUUUGAAAAGAGAGUUAAACAGUACGUGAAAUUGUCAAAAGGGAAGCGUUUGACACCAGUGUUGUUUUUCCGAAAAUCAAUUAAAAAUUGAUUCAUGCCAGGUUGUAUUGACCUUAUCAGCUUGCAAUUUGGUUUUGGGUCUCUUUUUGAUGCACUUUUCGGUUAACAAGUCAACAUCAAUUUCCUUUGCUGUAAAAAGGUAAGAGGAAGGUGGCUUCAAUUUCGGUUGAAGUGUUUAUAGCCUUUUAUCUCUGCAGUCGGGGAGAUUGAGGUCUGCAGCGUAGAUCCUUCGGGGCUAGAUACAUUUAUGCUAAGUUAUAGCUUUUCAUAGACAACUUGUUGACUAUGUUUAGUCAUGUAGCUUACUCGUAAGUGCUAUUUUACCUACGCUUAGGAUGUUGAGCGCAUGUCUCUCUCU
This 775-nucleotide ribosomal RNA is filed under the name uncultured Neocallimastigales. RNAcentral describes it as "partial large subunit ribosomal RNA". It matches the Rfam family "Eukaryotic large subunit ribosomal RNA", at positions 24 to 642 of the family's 3401-position model. Lineage: Eukaryota; Fungi; Neocallimastigomycota; Neocallimastigomycetes; Neocallimastigales. The record is from RNAcentral.